Molecule: ribosomal RNA, 492 nt
Filed under: uncultured bacterium
Lineage: Bacteria
Description: partial 16S ribosomal RNA
Rfam family: Bacterial small subunit ribosomal RNA
Source: RNAcentral
AGUGAACGCUGGCGGUAGGCCUAACACAUGCAAGUCGAACGGCAGCACAGUAAGAGCUUGCUCUUACGGGUGGCGAGUGGCGGACGGGUGAGGAAUACAUCGGAAUCUACUUUUUCGUGGGGGAUAACGUAGGGAAACUUACGCUAAUACCGCAUACGACCUACGGGUGAAAGCAGGGGAUCUUCGGACCUUGCGCGAUUGAAUGAGCCGAUGUCGGAUUAGCUAGUUGGCGGGGUAAAGGCCCACCAAGGCGACGAUCCGUAGCUGGUCUGAGAGGAUGAUCAGCCACACUGGAGCGGAGACACGGUCCAGACUCCUACGAGAGGCAGCAGUGGGGAAUAUUGGACAAUGGGCGCAAGCCUGAUCCAGCCAUACCGCGUCGGUGAAGAAGGCCUUCGGGUUGUAAAGCCCUUUUGUUGGGAAAGAAAAGCAGCAGGUUAAUACCCCGCUGUUCUGACGGUACCCAAAGAAUAAGCACCGGCUAACUUCGUG